RNAcentral lists this ribosomal RNA (377 nucleotides) under uncultured Serratia sp. RNAcentral's name for it is "bacterial SSU rRNA". It matches the Rfam family "Bacterial small subunit ribosomal RNA", at positions 521 to 896 of the family's 1533-position model. The record is from RNAcentral. Lineage: Bacteria; Pseudomonadati; Pseudomonadota; Gammaproteobacteria; Enterobacterales; Yersiniaceae.
UAAUACGGAGGGUGCAAGCGUUAAUCGGAAUUACUGGGCGUAAAGCGCACGCAGGCGGUUUGUUAAGUCAGAUGUGAAAUCCCCGGGCUCAACCUGGGAACUGCAUUUGAAACUGGCAAGCUAGAGUCUCGUAGAGGGGGGUAGAAUUCCAGGUGUAGCGGUGAAAUGCGUAGAGAUCUGGAGGAAUACCGGUGGCGAAGGCGGCCCCCUGGACGAAGACUGACGCUCAGGUGCGAAAGCGUGGGGAGCAAACAGGAUUAGAUAACCCUGGUAGUCCACGCUGUAAACGAUGUCGAUUUGGAGGUUGUGCCCUUGAGGCGUGGCUUCCGGAGCUAACGCGUUAAAUCGACCGCCUGGGGAGUACGGCCGCAAGGUUA